This 459-nucleotide ribosomal RNA is filed under the name uncultured bacterium. RNAcentral describes it as "partial 16S ribosomal RNA". It matches the Rfam family "Bacterial small subunit ribosomal RNA", at positions 338 to 794 of the family's 1533-position model. The record is from RNAcentral.
CCUACGGGUGACAGCAGUGAGGAAUAUUGGUCAAUGGACGAGAGUCUGAACCAGCCAAGUAGCGUGAAGGAUGACUGCCCUAUGGGUUGUAAACUUCUUUUAUAUGGGAAUAAAACGUUCCACGUGUGGGAUUUUGUAUGUACCAUAUGAAUAAGGAUCGGCUAACUCCGUGCCAGCAGCCGCGGUAAUACGGAGGAUCCGAGCGUUAUCCGGAUUUAUUGGGUUUAAAGGGAGCGUAGGUGGAUUGUUAAGUCAGUUGUGAAAGUUUGCGGCUCAACCGUAAAAUUGCAGUUGAAACUGGCAGUCUUGAGUACAGUAGAGGUGGGCGGAAUUCGUGGUGUAGCGGUGAAAUGCUUAGAUAUCACGAAGAACUCCGAUUGCGAAGGCAGUUCACUGGACUGCAACUGACACUGAGGCUCGAGAGUGUGGGUAUCAAACAGGAUUAGAUACCCGAGUAGU